Molecule: long non-coding RNA, 260 nt
Filed under: Setaria viridis
Lineage: Eukaryota; Viridiplantae; Streptophyta; Magnoliopsida; Poales; Poaceae
Description: long non-coding RNA (SVIR_LNC009369)
Source: RNAcentral
UCGACGUGAGUAGAGACACGAUGGAUAUCGGUGGGGAGGGCAGAGGACCCUGAUCCCCUUGAACAAGUGUUCUAUUUCUUGUUUCAGAAGAUGAACAGCAGUUUAGGAUCGGGUACAGUAUAAGCCCGUCUCCUUUCGGUUACAGACACUGACCGACCGGUCCCACAUGAUAGCGUUACAUAAAAUGUAAACAUCAGAACAAAAGCGUAUUUCUAACUCCCGUCUUCUGUACGCCUUCGUCAGUUCAUGACAUCUCCCCC